GGAAACAGUACCUCCAACUAUUGCAUUUAGACGAAACUGUUAAAAGGAAGAGCCUCUGUCAGAUCCAAAUGGUUUGGGUCCUGUACUGUGUUACUUGUACCAGAUGCUUAUGUAUCUGUUAAAUGUGGAAGUCGAUUUUGAUGAUAUUCUUAGAAGCUGCUUUAAUUUUCCUGAGACUUUGUGUGUUGGCUUUUGUCUCAAAAUAGCAGGAUUCACAUUGCUUUUGGGAUGCGAUCACUUGUUUGAAUGAGCUUCCUUAUGUCCAAAGGUUUUCAUGAUCAUUGGAUUAUCUUUAAUGAAACUUAAAAAGAACAAUUUCUAGUUAAAGUAUAUUCACGUACAUGGUAAUUGGUGGUUUCUGCAAGUCUCUGUCAGCAGUGAGCUGCUGGCAAGCAGGGCGGCCUUGGUGGAGCUCUUAUUUGCACCCGGUAUGGCUCUUGUGGGAAGGAGGGAGAACCACCUGCAGCUUCACGUUUGUUCACGUUUUUUUCAGGAUGGCACUGGAUCUUUAAAACGCAGUGGUUCCUUUAGCAAACUCCGGGCUUCCAUUAGACGCAGCAGUGAGAAGCUGGUUAGGAAGCUGAAGGGAGGAAGUUCACGAGAGAGUGAGCCAAAGAACCCCGGCAUGAAGCGUGCCAGCUCUCUGAAUGUCCUUAACGUGGGUGGCAAGGCUGCUGAAGAUCACUUUCAAGAACGAAAUAAUUGUCUGGCCGACUCGCGAGCUCUGAGUGCCAGCCACACUGACCUGGCCCACUGAGGGCCAGCAGGGCUAGGUAACCUGUCUUGGGAGUGUGAGACCGCCCCGCCCUGCCACGCCCCUCACCGCCCUGCCCGGAGGCGCCAGCCGCACUCCUUGGCUUCCUUUCCUAGAUAGUGACGUCCACCAACCUUGGAGGUGCCUUUUCAAAACACCCGGGAGGCCGUGCCUCAGCAUUCUGUUACCCGGCCUGCAGCCCCAGUGCCAGGAGCCGCCCCGACCGCGACCCGGCCAGGCUGGCUCAGGGAGGCCGAGGUGGCGCUGAGGUGGCUUCAGCACGCUGGGGAUUGGCUCCUGCUCACGGAUGCUGUUGCAUUUCCUGCCUGCCACCUUUUUGCCACGACACCAAACUCUCUUUUAAAUUGUAAUAUUGUAAUAAGGCUGUAAAUUAAGAAUCUGGAAACAUAAAGUACCCCUUUCAGAACGAUAGGCAUUUAGUGAUCUAUGGCAGUAAAGCCUGAAGCUUAGCGGACACUGGUCAGUGGGAAGUGAAUUCCUUCCCAGCUGGAGCAUCUUCCGGGUCUCUCUUUCCAAGGUCCCCAUGCCUGUGGCCCUGGGGCCCCAUGCCCCCUUUUGAGCUGUGUUCUCCCGGACGCCCCUGCACACGAAGCCCAUAGAGACGUGUGUUUCACUUUUUUUUUUUUUUUGAGACGGAGUCUAACUCUGUCGCCCAGGCUGGAGUGCAGUGGCCCAAUCUCGGCCCACUGCAAGCUCCACCUCCCAGGUUCACGCCAUUCUCCUGCCUCAGCCUCCCGAGUAGCUGGGACUACAGGUACCCGCCAGGCGGAUCACAAGGUCAGGAGAUCGAGACCAUCCUGGCUAACACGGCGUUUCACUUUUGAAAAGCUUAAGCUUUAUGGAAUGAGGGAGCACGGUGGACUCUGACAGGAACCUUUUCAAAUCAAUGCUGAGGCUGUAUUUCUUAGCCGUCCACAAACUAGUCCAUAGGUAAAGAGCAUACAAAACAGACGCCGAGGUGAUCAGUGAUUCCAAAGGCUGACGCUCAGAAGCGCCACCUCCAUGCCAGCCAACUAGGCUACGGGAUGGAGGGCGGUCUGUGAAACACCAGCCAUCCCGUGAAAGCUCAGCUUGCCACUGUCAUGUAACAGGGCGGGUGGUGGCACAGCAGAGGCUCACACUUGUCACCUUCAGCCCCUAGAAGCUCCCCGUGGGGCACGAAGGCUGGGGACAGAGUGUCCUGAGGUUUUGUUACAAGGCUAGACUUUAAAAUACCUUUCAAAGUUUCAUCCCGCCUCAUGUCGCAGGACUGCUGUGUUUGUGAAAGCGCGUUUGUUUCCACAAGACAAGCUCCGUGUAGUCGCCAGCGGGUGCCUGGCCCAGGAGCUGCCCUGUGGAGCCAGCGUUGUCCCCGAGCUGCUCGCCUGUGGCCGUGGCUCCUUUUCUGAGGCUCCUGACUCCAUUCUUGCAGAUUCUGGUGGAUCAGGAGCUUACUUUCUAAAUGCUACAUAGAGGUGUUGAAGAAAAUUUCAUAGGUUCUGUAAUAGUGGAUGGGAUUAAAAGAAAAAAUGUUAAAUUUUAUAUAUAUAUAUGGCUGGGUGCGAUGGUUCAUGCCAGUAAUCCUAUAAUCUUAGCACUU
RNAcentral lists this long non-coding RNA (2354 nucleotides) under Pan troglodytes (chimpanzee). RNAcentral's name for it is "long non-coding RNA NONPTRT004942". Lineage: Eukaryota; Metazoa; Chordata; Mammalia; Primates; Hominidae. The record is from RNAcentral.